Molecule: ribosomal RNA, 249 nt
Filed under: uncultured Actinomycetales bacterium
Lineage: Bacteria; Bacillati; Actinomycetota; Actinomycetes; Actinomycetales
Description: partial 16S ribosomal RNA
Rfam family: Bacterial small subunit ribosomal RNA
Source: RNAcentral
UGGGGAAUCUUGCGCAAUGGGCGAAAGCCUGACGCAGCAACGCCGCGUGCGGGAUGAAGGCCUUCGGGCUGUAAACCUCUUUCAGCAGGGACGAACAUGACGGUACCUGCAGCAAACGCCCCGGCUAACUACGUGCCAGCAGCCGCGGUAUUACGUAGGGUGCAAGCGUUGUCCGGAAUUAUUGGGCGCAAAGAGCUCGUCGGCGGUUUGUGGCGUCUGCUGUGCAAUACCGACGCUCGACCUCGGACC